RNAcentral lists this non-coding RNA (28 nucleotides) under Bombyx mori (domestic silkworm). The record is from RNAcentral. Lineage: Eukaryota; Metazoa; Arthropoda; Insecta; Lepidoptera; Bombycidae.
UCAUUCGCAUAAUUUUGUCUUUGAAUAC